This 1169-nucleotide ribosomal RNA is filed under the name Vreelandella alkaliphila. RNAcentral describes it as "bacterial SSU rRNA". It matches the Rfam family "Bacterial small subunit ribosomal RNA", at positions 33 to 1194 of the family's 1533-position model. Lineage: Bacteria; Pseudomonadati; Pseudomonadota; Gammaproteobacteria; Oceanospirillales; Halomonadaceae. The record is from RNAcentral.
CCCCUAGUUCCCCGGUUCCCCGUAACAGUCGAGCGGUAACAGGGGUAGCUUGCUACCCGCUGACGAGCGGCGGACGGGUGAGUAAUGCAUAGGAAUCUGCCCGAUAGUGGGGGAUAACCUGGGGAAACCCAGGCUAAUACCGCAUACGUCCUACGGGAGAAAGGGGGCUCCGGCUCCCGCUAUUGGAUGAGCCUAUGUCGGAUUAGCUAGUUGGUGAGGUAAUGGCUCACCAAGGCAACGAUCCGUAGCUGGUCUGAGAGGAUGAUCAGCCACAUCGGGACUGAGACACGGCCCGAACUCCUACGGGAGGCAGCAGUGGGGAAUAUUGGACAAUGGGCGAAAGCCUGAUCCAGCCAUGCCGCGUGUGUGAAGAAGGCCCUCGGGUUGUAAAGCACUUUCAGCGAGGAAGAACGCCUAGUGGUUAAUACCCAUUAGGAAAGACAUCACUCGCAGAAGAAGCACCGGCUAACUCCGUGCCAGCAGCCGCGGUAAUACGGAGGGUGCAAGCGUUAAUCGGAAUUACUGGGCGUAAAGCGCGCGUAGGUGGCUUGAUAUUUUUGUUGUGAAAGCCCCGGGCUCAACCUGGGAACGGCAUCCGGAACUGUCAAGCUAGAGUGCAGGAGAGGAAGGUAGAAUUCCCGGUGUAGCGGUGAAAUGCGUAGAGAUCGGGAGGAAUACCAGUGGCGAAGGCGGCCUUCUGGACUGACACUGACACUGAGGUGCGAAAGCGUGGGUAGCAAACAGGAUUAGAUACCCUGGUAGUCCACGCCGUAAACGAUGUCGACCAGCCGUUGGGUGCCUAGCGCACUUUGUGGCGAAGUUAACGCGAUAAGUCGACCGCCUGGGGAGUACGGCCGCAAGGUUAAAACUCAAAUGAAUUGACGGGGGCCCGCACAAGCGGUGGAGCAUGUGGUUUAAUUCGAUGCAACGCGAAGAACCUUACCUACUCUUGACAUCCUGCGAACUUGUGAGAGAUCACUUGGUGCCUUUCGGGAAACGCAGAGACAGGUGCUGCAUGGCUGUCGUCAGCUCGUGUUGUGAAAUGUUGGGCUAAGUCCCGUAACGAGCGCCAACCCUUGUUCCAUAAUUUGCCAGCGGAGUAUGUCGGGCACUCUAAGGAGACUGCUGAUGAACAACCCGGGAGGAAGGGUGGGAGAACGAACGCUUCC